This 460-nucleotide ribosomal RNA is filed under the name uncultured bacterium. RNAcentral's name for it is "partial 16S ribosomal RNA". It matches the Rfam family "Bacterial small subunit ribosomal RNA", at positions 338 to 795 of the family's 1533-position model. The record is from RNAcentral.
CCUACGGGAGGCAGCAGUGAGGAAUAUUGGUCAAUGGGCGAGAGUCUGAACCAGCCAAGUAGCGUGAAGGAUGACUGCCCUAUGGGUUGUAAACUUCUUUUAUAUGGGAAUAAAAUGUUCCACGUGUGGGAUUUUGUAUGUACCAUAUGAAUAAGGAUCGGCUAACUCCGUGCCAGCAGCCGCGGUAAUACGGAGGAUCCGAGCGUUAUCCGGAUUUAUUGGGUUUAAAGGGAGCGUAGGUGGAUUGUUAAGUCAGUUGUGAAAUUUUGCGGCUCAACCGUAAAAUUGCAGUUGAAACUGGCAGUCUUGAGUACAGUAGAGGUGGGCGGAAUUCGUGGUGUAGCGGUGAAAUGCUUAGAUAUCACGAAGAACUCCGAUUGCGAAGGCAGCUCACUGGACUGCAACUGACACUGAGGCUCGAAAGUGUGGGUAUCAAACAGGAUUAGAUACCCGUGUAGUC